GAUCGGCGAGCACCCGGUAGUGCCGCUGCCAGUUGAGCGGCCAGGGGCAGUUCCAGUCCGGGUCGAUCGC
RNAcentral lists this transfer RNA (70 nucleotides) under Streptomyces flaveolus. RNAcentral describes it as "tRNA-Asn". Lineage: Bacteria; Bacillati; Actinomycetota; Actinomycetes; Kitasatosporales; Streptomycetaceae. The record is from RNAcentral.